RNAcentral lists this ribosomal RNA (420 nucleotides) under uncultured bacterium. Its description in RNAcentral is "bacterial SSU rRNA". It matches the Rfam family "Bacterial small subunit ribosomal RNA", at positions 356 to 773 of the family's 1533-position model. The record is from RNAcentral.
GAGGAAUAUUGCGCAAUGGAGGCAACUCUGACGCAGCCAUGCCGCGUGCAGGAAGAAGGCCCUACGGGUUGUAAACUGCUUUUAACCGGGAAGAAACCCCUCUACGUGUAGAGGGUUGACGGUACCGGAGGAAUAAGCACCGGCUAACUUCGUGCCAGCAGCCGCGGUAAUACGAAGGGUGCAAGCGUUAUCCGGAUUCAUUGGGUUUAAAGGGUGCGUAGGCGGGCCUAUAAGUCAGUGGUGAAAUCCUGCAGCUCAACUGUAGAAUUGCCAUUGAUACUGUAGGUCUUGAGUACGCUCGACGUAGGCGGAAUGUGCCGUGUAGCGGUGAAAUGCUUAGAUAUGGCACAGAACACCGAUAGUGAAGACAGCUUACGAGGGCGAAACUGACGCUGAGGCACGAAAGCGUGGGGAUCGAAC